Molecule: long non-coding RNA, 2677 nt
Filed under: Bemisia tabaci
Lineage: Eukaryota; Metazoa; Arthropoda; Insecta; Hemiptera; Aleyrodidae
Description: lncRNA ENSSSA3NGG008189
Source: RNAcentral
ACAAGUGUGACUCUACGAAAAGUAAGCUCAAUUUCAGUCAACUUGCUGUAAAUACAGAGUUCUCAGAUUACGAAUAUAAUAUACCAUGCAUCAGUAGCGCGGCCCCAUACUCGGUUGAUCUGAGCAAGUUUCCUUACCAUUUCUCAAAGAAUGACUAUCCGCCAGCAGUUUCUGUAGUACAUGAAGGCUCCGACAAGGUCAAGCACCCUUGUGCCAAAAAUGUUGAGCUGAAGAUUGAUGAGUUCAAUGCAAUGAAGAAAGUUGGUGAUUGUUCCUUAAGCAACCAUCAUGGUUUUUUCGGUGAAGAAAUGACAAGAAGCGAGUGCAUGACAGUGCAAGAAGGCUGUGAAGAUAUCGACAUGGGAAGUGAAGGAAGCGAAGAAAGUGAUAUCAUUGUUGAGGACUCCGAUUCCAGAUCAGCUGAUGAGGAACAGAAUGAGAUUUCUGUAGACAAUGCUGAAAAAAUCUUAGGCAGUGGGGAAGCCAAUCUCUCAGAAAUGAAUCCAUGCUCCAUAACCUUGCGUUGUUUCAUCUGUGAUCUGUCAACAACCACAGUGCCGGCUACUCAGUUCAUUCAUACCAAUGGUGAGUUCCCGGUGACUUCAGCAACGAAAACACCUAUAGUCUCCAAACUUCUGGAGUUCGUCCCAGGGAGCUCCACAAAUACUUGAGCAUCGAGAAUCAUUUCUUAUGCUGCCGCUGUUUCAACCUUAUUGAGACUGUAGAGAGCUUAGAGGGCAAGCUUGAAUCUGUUAAAAAAACUUAACCGACACGCUCGCUAGGACCAUGACAAUCAUCAACAUCCGUGGUGCGGAGGAAAAAAAGAUCUCCUCUUUGGAGUGGUUUCAACCAGCAGAAUUAUCAGGGGAACCAGACGCUGCAAAAAAUUGUCAAGGAAUGACACAUCUUUAGAUAUGGACAACCCAAAGGGCAAUGAUGUGUGCGUCAACCGGGAUCUUCAGAAUUUACAGCAUGAAAGUCAAGAGGUUAGUACUUACAGAGUCUUUUAAGUUGUAGGGUCCAGCUUGAGGGACUGAAGUGAAAUGUAUUGUGAUGUUGAGAUGUUACACCAGACCAAGUAUUCAUCAACAUCAAUCUUACGCGCAUCCAGGGGGAGGCAUGAGGGGGAGGGGGAAGCCUGGGUCCCAUUCUCCUGGAAAAAAGGAGGAAGGAAAAAGAAGAGAAUAAGAAGGCAGCAGUAGUAGAAUGAGUUCAUUUUUAAUAGGUGAAUUUUGAAUUUUAAGAGGUGCUUAUAGAAGAAAAUUACACAAGAAAUCCAAUGGAACCACUUUAAAACCUCAAACUUUUGUAUAAAUGGAGUUGGAAGCGGUUGAAGUUUCCAAAUUUUGUCCGACUACUCCUACUGACCUGAUCCAUCGUGCGGCGACCGGAACCGAAGUCGAGGAAGCAAAGUUGCCCACUAUUAUCUGGACUUAGGCUCUGAGUUAUUCUCCUCAAGGGUGUCGCUCCAACAAUUGUGUCUGCAAAUUAGUAACGAUGGUGAAUGUCUCAGCAAGUCUCUCAAGUGGACGCCAAUAGGAUAUCUGUGGAAUUGGUUUAUUUAACAGAUAUCGACGGCGUAAGUCCGCAAUCACAUAGUAUCUCGUUUGCAGUGUCUAAAAUCUCUACCUCUAUGUUAUUUUUUUAAAGGAGAACAAAUUGACACCAUUCCUUGAAGUUCAUGCAGGAUUUUCUCCGCACAGAGAAAAAAAAUCGCGGCAGUUUUAAAAGAAUUGCCGGUGAAUAGUUCUCCGUCCAAAAUUAAAGUAUGUCAGGAAGUCUGCAAUGUCGUAAACUGAGUUAUGUGAUCGUCGACUUACACCGUCGAUAUACUUUAAUAUUCUUAGUGCUGCGCCAUCAAAUGUUCCAUUCUUGGACUUGACUGUGUCUCUAAAAAAAAUUGAUCCCCAUCAAAUAAAAGUUAGAAAUGGAUUUCUCACCUGAACAGUGCAUCGUUGGGAAAAGAACGGGGGAAGAGUGUCAAAAAUAAAGUUGACAAAAACGGUGCGUUUGAGAGUUAUCAAUGAACUGGAUGAAGGAGCGAAGGCACUCGUGCGUUUACGGAAUGGAGUGAUAGUGACCUCUUAACAGUAUGUGAACAUCUCAAGCAUUCUUUCUUCGAAGGAUAUGAGUCAACCCAUCGUUCUUGCUUUGAUCCAUUUUCGUGGCACAGAAAAAAAGUUACAAAUCAAUCGAGCAACUAUUCGAACUUCGGAGUAGGUAUGUGGUGUCACGCAAAAUUGAAGGAAAAUCAUAGGUUUCCGACGAUGUCACCGACGUUUAUGAAUAGUUUGCUCGCAUUGACUCAAAGUCGCGUAUUUUCCUAGGGAAAUCGCUGUGAUCUGAAGUAACCACUGGGAAAUUCAAGGCUGUUCUGCGAUAUUAAUUUAAAUUACGCGUAAUGUUCAAAGAUUCUACAAAACCUCUUGUUAGAUCGCGCAUUUGCCGCAAUUGAGCUGUGACUAUCUGCUAAUUUCUCAUUUUAUUUUUCCUGAAGUUAAUGAAUAUUUUUCUCACAUCGAUAUUAAGUCGCGUAUAUUCCGCGAUUUUAAGGUGAAAAUUGUGUGACAUGUUGUGAUCUUCACCACUGGAAAUUUCGCGGCAUUGAAGUGAAUACGCGUCAAAUUUUGAAGAUUCCACUAAACUCUUGACGUAUUGCGCCUUUGCCACGAUUAAG